RNAcentral lists this ribosomal RNA (198 nucleotides) under Hemilepidotus gilberti. Its description in RNAcentral is "partial 12S ribosomal RNA". It matches the Rfam family "Bacterial small subunit ribosomal RNA", at positions 1302 to 1533 of the family's 1533-position model. The record is from RNAcentral. RNAcentral also lists the same sequence under 1 other name. Lineage: Eukaryota; Metazoa; Chordata; Actinopteri; Perciformes; Cottidae.
GUGCUGAAACAUCCAUCUGAAGGAGGAUUUAGCAGUAAGCAGGAAAUAGAGCGUCCCGCUGAAACUGGCCCUGAAGCGCGCACACACCGCCCGUCACUCUCCCCAAAACCGCCCACUCAGUUAAUUAAAACCUAAUAAUCAAAAGGGGAGGCAAGUCGUAACAUGGUAAGUGUACCGGAAGGUGCACUUGGAAAAAUC